This 253-nucleotide ribosomal RNA is filed under the name uncultured prokaryote. Its description in RNAcentral is "partial 16S ribosomal RNA". It matches the Rfam family "Bacterial small subunit ribosomal RNA", at positions 525 to 777 of the family's 1533-position model. The record is from RNAcentral.
ACGGAGGGUGCAAGCGUUGUCCGGAUUUAUUGGGUUUAAAGGGUGCGUAGGUGGCUUUUUAAGUCUGACCUGAAAGUGGGCCGCUUAACGGCACAGGGUGGUUGGAUACUGAAGAGCUUGAAGAGGGUGGAGGCCGCCGGAACGGAUCGUGUAGCGGUGAAAUGCAUAGAGAUGAUCCAGAACCCCGAUUGCGUAGGCAGGCGGCUACGCCCCACUUGACACUGAGGCACGAGAGCAUGGGGAGCAAACAGGA